AGUGAACGCUGGCGGUAGGCCUAACACAUGCAAGUCGAACGGCAGCACAGUAAGAGCUUGCUCUUACGGGUGGCGAGUGGCGGACGGGUGAGGAAUACAUCGGAAUCUACUUUUUCGUGGGGGAUAACGUAGGGAAACUUACGCUAAUACCGCAUACGACCUACGGGUGAAAGCAGGGGAUCUUCGGACCUUGCGCGAUUGAAUGAGCCGAUGUCGGAUUAGCUAGUUGGCGGGGUAAAGGCCCACCAAGGCGACGAUCCGUAGCUGGUCUGAGAGGAUGACCAGCCAAACUGGACUUGAGACAGGGUCCAGACUCCAAGGGAGGGCAGCAGUGGGAAUAUUGGACAAUGGGCGCAAGCCUGAUCCAGCCAUACCGCGUGGGUGAAGAAGGCCUUCGGGUUGUAAAGCCCUUUUGUUGGGAAAGAAAAGCAGCAGGUUAAUACCCCGCUGUUCUGACGGUACCCAAAGAAUAAGCACCGGCUAACUUCGUG
RNAcentral lists this ribosomal RNA (491 nucleotides) under uncultured bacterium. RNAcentral's name for it is "partial 16S ribosomal RNA". It matches the Rfam family "Bacterial small subunit ribosomal RNA", at positions 29 to 507 of the family's 1533-position model. The record is from RNAcentral.